ACUCCCAAACCCCUGUGAACAUACCUUAAUGUUGCCUCGGCGGAUCAGCCCGCGCCCCGUAAAACGGGACGGCCCGCCAGAGGACCCAAACUCUAAUGUUUCUUAUUGUAACUUCUGAGUAAAACAAACAAAUAAAUCAAAACUUUCAACAACGGAUCUCUUGGUUCUGGCAUCGAUGAAGAACGCAGCAAAAUGCGAUAAGUAAUGUGAAUUGCAGAAUUCAGUGAAUCAUCGAAUCUUUGAACGCACAUUGCGCCCGCUGGUAUUCCGGCGGGCAUGCCUGUUCGAGCGUCAUUUCAACCCUCAAGCCCUCGGGUUUGGUGUUGGGGAUCGGCUCUGCCUUCUGGCGGUGCCGCCCCCGAAAUACAUUGGCGGUCUCGCUGCAGCCUCCAUUGCGUAGUAGCUAACACCUCGCAACUGGAACGCGGCGCGGCCAUGCCGUAAAACCCCAACUUCUGAAUGUUGACCUCGGAUCAGGUAGGAAUACCCGCUGAACUUAAGCAUAUCAAUAAGCGGAGGAA
Molecule: ribosomal RNA, 521 nt
Filed under: Fusarium tricinctum
Lineage: Eukaryota; Fungi; Ascomycota; Sordariomycetes; Hypocreales; Nectriaceae
Description: eukaryotic LSU rRNA
Rfam family: 5.8S ribosomal RNA (bases 141-294)
Source: RNAcentral